AUAGUACGCGACAGUUUGACAUGGCAAUCGGGGUGGCGACGUCCCGCACACCCGCACAGCACCCGCGCUAACCUGGUGCGGAGGAGCC
This is a long non-coding RNA of Maniola jurtina (meadow brown), 88 nucleotides long. RefSeq lists it as uncharacterized. The record is from RefSeq and is a predicted model, not a curated record. NCBI's taxonomy places the organism in Eukaryota, Metazoa, Arthropoda, Insecta, Lepidoptera, Nymphalidae. The transcript is spliced from 3 exons.